RNAcentral lists this ribosomal RNA (274 nucleotides) under uncultured bacterium. RNAcentral describes it as "partial 16S ribosomal RNA". It matches the Rfam family "Bacterial small subunit ribosomal RNA", at positions 523 to 796 of the family's 1533-position model. The record is from RNAcentral.
AUACGGAGGGUGCAAGCGUUAAUCGGAAUUACUGGGCGUAAAGCGUUCGUAGGCGGUUUGUUAAGUUAGAUGUGAAAGCCCCGGGCUCAACCUGGGAACUGCAUUUAAAACUGGCAAACUCGAGUUUAGGAGAGGGAAGUGGAAUUUCAGGUGUAGCAGUGAAAUGCGUAGAGAUCUGAAGGAACACCAGUGGCGAAGGCGACUUCCUGGACUAAAACUGACGCUGAGGAACGAAAGCGUGGGUAGCAAACGGGAUUAGAAACCCGAGUAGUCC